Molecule: small nuclear RNA, 75 nt
Filed under: Monodelphis domestica (gray short-tailed opossum)
Lineage: Eukaryota; Metazoa; Chordata; Mammalia; Didelphimorphia; Didelphidae
Description: 7SK RNA
Rfam family: 7SK RNA
About the family: 7SK was discovered as an abundant small nuclear RNA in the mid-70s but a possible function has only recently been suggested. Two independent studies have found that 7SK RNA binds the CDK9/cyclin T complex (known as elongation factor P-TEFb).
Source: Rfam by way of RNAcentral
AGUUGGGACAUCAGCCACCCCAUUGAUAGCUCAGGUUGAUUCAGCUGAUCUAGCUGGAUGAGGCAGCAUCCCCUU